UACAGAGGAUGCAAGCGUUAAUCGGAAUUACUGGGCGUAAAGGGUGCGUAGGCGGUUAUUUAAGUCUGCCGUGAAAUCCCCGGGCUCAACCUGGGAAUGGCGGUGGAUACUGGAUAGCUAGAGUGUGUCAGAGGAUGGUGGAAUUCCCGGAGUAGCGGUGAAAUGCGUAGAGAUCGGGAGGAACAUCAGUGGCGAAGGCGGCCAUCUGGGACAACACUGACGCUGAAGCACGAAAGCGUGGGGAGCAAACAGG
Molecule: ribosomal RNA, 253 nt
Filed under: uncultured bacterium
Lineage: Bacteria
Description: partial 16S ribosomal RNA
Rfam family: Bacterial small subunit ribosomal RNA
Source: RNAcentral